Molecule: ribosomal RNA, 253 nt
Filed under: uncultured bacterium
Lineage: Bacteria
Description: partial 16S ribosomal RNA
Rfam family: Bacterial small subunit ribosomal RNA
Source: RNAcentral
UACGGGGGGGGCAAGCGUUGUUCGGAAUUACUGGGCGUAAAGGGCUCGUAGGUGGCCAACUAAGUCGGACGUGAAAUCCCUCGGCUUAACCGGGGAACUGCGUCUGAUACUGGAUGGCUUGAGUUCGGGAGAGGGAUGCGGAAUUCCAGGUGUAGCGGUGAAAUGCGCAGAUAUCAGGAGGAACACCGGUGGCGAAGGCGGAUCUCUGGGCCUUACCUGACGCUCAGGCGCGAAAGCUAGGGGAGCGAACAGG